CGUGCUUAACACAUGCAAGUCGAACGGAAAGGCCCUGCUUUUGUGGGGUGCUCGAGUGGCGAACGGGUGAGUAACACGUGAGUAACCUGCCCUUGACUUUGGGAUAACUUCAGGAAACUGGGGCUAAUACCGGAUAGGAGCUCCUGCUGCAUGGUGGGGGUUGGAAAGUUUCGGCGGUUGGGGAUGGACUCGCGGCUUAUCAGCUUGUUGGUGGGGUAGUGGCUUACCAAGGCUUUGACGGGUAGCCGGCCUGAGAGGGUGACCGGCCACAUUGGGACUGAGAUACGGCCCAGACUCCUACGGGAGGCAGCAGUGGGGAAUAUUGCACAAUGGGCGGAAGCCUGAUGCAGCAACGCCGCGUGCGGGAUGACGGCCUUCGGGUUGUAAACCGCUUUCGCCUGUGACGAAGCGUGAGUGACGGUAAUGGGUAAAGAAGCACCGGCUAACUACGUGCCAGCAGCCGCGGUGAUACGUAGGGUGCGAGCGUUGUCCGGAUUUAUUGGGCGUAAAGGGCUCGUAGGUGGUUGAUCGCGUCGGAAGUGUAAUCUUGGGGCUUAACCCUGAGCGUGCUUUCGAUACGGGUUGACUUGAGGAAGGUAGGGGAGAAUGGAAUUCCUGGUGGAGCGGUGGAAUGCGCAGAUAUCAGGAGGAACACCAGUGGCGAAGGCGGUUCUCUGGGGCCUUUCCUGACGCUGAGGAGCGAAAGCGUGGGGAGCGAACAGGCUUAGAUACCCUGGUAGUCCACGCUGUAAACGGUGGGUACUAGGUGUGGGGUCCAUUCCACGGGUUCCGCGCCGUAGCUAACGCUUUAAGUACCCCGCCUGGGGAGUACGGCCGCAAGGCUAAAACUCAAAGGAAUUGACGGGGCCCCGCACAAGCGGCGGAGCAUGCGGAUUAAUUCGAUGCAACGCGUAGAACCUUACCUGGGUUUGACAUGGAUCGGGAGUGCUCAGAGAUGGGUGUGCCUCUUUUGGGGUCGGUUCACAGGUGGUGCAUGCCUGUCGUCAGCUCGUGUCGUGAGAUGUUGGGUUAAGUCCCGCAACGAGCGCAACCCUUGUUCACUGUUGCCAGCACGUUAUGGUGGGGACUCAGUGGAGACCGCCGGGGUCAACUCGGAGGAAGGUGGGGAUGACGUCAAGUCAUCAUGCCCCUUAUGUCCAGGGCUUCACGCAUGCUACAAUGGCUGGUACAGAGAGUGGCGAGCCUGUGAGGGUGAGCGAAUCUCGGAAAGCCGGUCUCAGUUCGGAUUGGGGUCUGCAACUCGACCUCAUGAAGUCGGAGUCGCUAGUAAUCGCAGAUCAGCAACGCUGCGGUGAAUACGUUCCCGGGGCUUGUACACACCGCCCGUCAAGUCAUGAAAGUUGGUAACACCCGAAGCCGGUGGCCUAACCGUUGUGGGGGAGCCGUCGAAGGUGGGACUGGUGAUUAGGACUAAGUCAUAACA
This 1444-nucleotide ribosomal RNA is filed under the name uncultured organism. RNAcentral describes it as "16S ribosomal RNA". It matches the Rfam family "Bacterial small subunit ribosomal RNA". The record is from RNAcentral.